RNAcentral lists this ribosomal RNA (830 nucleotides) under Helotiales sp. Its description in RNAcentral is "partial large subunit ribosomal RNA". It matches the Rfam family "Eukaryotic large subunit ribosomal RNA", at positions 79 to 924 of the family's 3401-position model. The record is from RNAcentral. Lineage: Eukaryota; Fungi; Ascomycota; Leotiomycetes; Helotiales.
CCUAGUAACGGCGAGUGAAGCGGCAACAGCUCAAAUUUGAAAUCUGGCUCCUUCGGGGUCCGAGUUGUAAUUUGCAGAAGAUGCUUCUGGUGUGGUCCCGGUCUAAGUCCCUUGGCACAGGACGUCAUAGAGGGUGAGAACCCCGUAUGUGACCGGUGGCCUAUGCCUCUGUGAAGCUCUUUCAACGAGUCGAGUUGUUUGGGAAUGCAGCUCAAAAUGGGUGGUAUAUUCCAUCUAAAGCUAAAUAUUGGCCAGAGACCGAUAGCGCACAAGUAGAGUGAUCGAAAGAUGAAAAGCACUUUGAAAAGAGAGUUAAAUAGUACGUGAAAUUGUUAAAAGGGAAGCUCUUGCUACCAGACGCGGGCGCCGUUGAUCAUCCUAGGUUUUCCUGGGUGCACUCGGCGGUGCUCGGGUCAGCAUCGGUUUUGGUGGUGGGAUAAAGGCCCUGGGAAUGUAGCUCCUCUUCGGGGGAGUGUUAUAGCCCUCGGUGCAAUGCCACCUACCGGGACCGAGGACCGCGCUUCGGCGAGGAUGCUGGCAUAAUGGUCGUAAGCGGCCCGUCUUGAAACACGGACCAAGGAGUCUAACAUCUAUGCGAGUGUUUGGGUGGUAAACCCAUUCGCGGAAUGAAAGUGAACGUAGCUGAGAACCCCUCGGGGCGCACCAGCGACCGAUCCUGAUGUCUUCGGACGGAUUUGAGUAAGAGCAUAGCUGUUGGGACCCGAAAGAUGGUGAACUAUGCUUGCAUAGGGUGAAGCCAGAGGAAACUCUGGUGGAGGCUCGCAGCGGUUCUGACGUGCAAAUCGAUCGUCAAAUGUGGGCAUAGGGGC